UACGUAGGAGGCAAGCGUUGUCCGGAAUUAUUGGGCGUAAAGAGCUCGUAGGCGGUUCGUCGCGUCGGCUGUGAAAUCCCGAGGCUCAACCUCGGGUCUGCAGUCGAUACGGGCGGACUGGAGUUCGGCAGGGGAGACUGGAAUUCCUGGUGUAGCGGUGAAAUGCGCAGAUAUCAGGAGGAACACCGGUGGCGAAGGCGGGUCUCUGGGCCGAUACUGACGCUGAGGAGCGAAAGCGUGGGGAGCGAACAGG
RNAcentral lists this ribosomal RNA (253 nucleotides) under uncultured bacterium. RNAcentral describes it as "partial 16S ribosomal RNA". It matches the Rfam family "Bacterial small subunit ribosomal RNA", at positions 524 to 776 of the family's 1533-position model. The record is from RNAcentral.